This 117-nucleotide ribozyme is filed under the name Aedes aegypti (yellow fever mosquito). RNAcentral describes it as "drz-agam-1 ribozyme". It matches the Rfam family "drz-agam-1 ribozyme". Lineage: Eukaryota; Metazoa; Arthropoda; Insecta; Diptera; Culicidae. The record is from Rfam by way of RNAcentral.
UGCCCAGCAACUCCUAUCCCUACCUUCUCGUGGUACUGGCCGGGGUACAAAUAGCCUUGGGGAAGAUCGGGUAACCAACCCCCGGUGGGAACUUUGGUCGUAUGCUGACAGGAAAGG